CGAGGGCUCAAGCGUUAAUCAGAAUCACUGGGCUUAAAGCGUGCGUAGGCGGGUCUGCAAGUGCCUUGUGAAAUCCCACGGCUUAACCGUGGAACUGCUCGGUAGACUGCAGAUCUUGAGGUCGGUAGAGGCUGUCGGAACUCUAGGUGUAGCGGUGAAAUGUGUAGAUAUCUAGAGGAACGCCCAAGGUGAAGACAGGCAGCUGGGCCGAAUCUGACGCUGAGGCACGAAAGCGUGGGUAGCGAACGGGAUUAGAGACCCGAGUAGUCC
This 270-nucleotide ribosomal RNA is filed under the name uncultured archaeon. Its description in RNAcentral is "partial 16S ribosomal RNA". It matches the Rfam family "Bacterial small subunit ribosomal RNA", at positions 527 to 796 of the family's 1533-position model. The record is from RNAcentral.